This 73-nucleotide transfer RNA is filed under the name Camelus dromedarius (Arabian camel). It matches the Rfam family "tRNA". Rfam says of the family: Transfer RNA (tRNA) molecules are approximately 80 nucleotides in length. The record is from Rfam by way of RNAcentral. Lineage: Eukaryota; Metazoa; Chordata; Mammalia; Artiodactyla; Camelidae. RNAcentral also lists the same sequence under 1 other name.
GUAUAUAUAGCUCAAGUGGUAGAGCGCAUGCUUAGCAUGCACGAGGUCCUGGGUUCAAUCCCCAGUACCUCCU